GAUGAACGCUGGCGGCGUGCCUAAUACAUGCAAGUCGAGCGAACAGACGAGGAGCUUGCUCCUCUGACGUUAGCGGCGGACGGGUGAGUAACACGUGGAUAACCUACCUAUAAGACUGGGAUAACUUCGGGAAACCGGAGCUAAUACCGGGUAAUAUAUUGAACCGCAUGGUUCAAUAGUGAAAGACGGUUUUGCUGUCACUUAUAGAUGGAUCCGCGCCGCAUUAGCUAGUUGGUAAGGUAACGGCUUACCAAGGCGACGAUGCGUAGCCGACCUGAGAGGGUGAUCGGCCACACUGGAACUGAGACACGGUCCAGACUCCUACGGGAGGCAGCAGUAGGGAAUCUUCCGCAAUGGGCGAAAGCCUGACGGAGCAACGCCGCGUGAGUGAUGAAGGUCUUCGGAUCGUAAAACUCUGUUAUUAGGGAAGAACAAAUGUGUAAGUAACUAUGCACGUCUUGACGGUACCUAAUCAGAAAGCCACGGCUAACUACGUG
Molecule: ribosomal RNA, 497 nt
Filed under: uncultured bacterium
Lineage: Bacteria
Description: partial 16S ribosomal RNA
Rfam family: Bacterial small subunit ribosomal RNA
Source: RNAcentral